This 468-nucleotide ribosomal RNA is filed under the name uncultured bacterium. RNAcentral's name for it is "partial 16S ribosomal RNA". It matches the Rfam family "Bacterial small subunit ribosomal RNA", at positions 28 to 507 of the family's 1533-position model. The record is from RNAcentral.
GACGAACGCUGGCGGCGUGCUUAACACAUGCAAGUCGAACGGAAAGGCCCUGCUUUUGUGGGUUGCUCGAGUGGCGAACGGGUGAGUAACACGUGAGUAACCUGCCCUUGACUUUGGGAUAACUUCAGGAAACUGGGGCUAUUACCGGAUAGGAGCUCCUGCUGCAUGGUGGGGGUUGGAAAGUUUCGGCGGUUGGAGAUGGACUCGCGGCUUAUCAGCUUGUUGGUGUGGUAGUGGCUUACCAAGGCUUUGACGGGUAGCCGGCCUGAGAGGGUGACCGGCCACAUUGGGACUGAGAUACGGCGCAGACUCCUACGGGAGGCAGCAGUGGGGAAUAUUGCACAAUGGGCGGAAGCCUGAUGCAGCAACGCCGCGUGCGGGAUGACGGCCUUCGGGUUGUAAACCGCUUUCGACUGUGACGAAGCGUGAGUGACGGUAAUGGGUAAAGAAGCAACGGCUAACUACGUG